UCCGGUUUGGCACCGGCAGUCCCUCUAGAGUCCUCGGCUUUACCCGUUAGUAACUAAAGAAAGGGGUUGCGCUCGUUGCGGGACUUAACCCAACAUCUCACGGUCUUCCCCCAGAUGUCAAGCCCAGGUAAGGUUCUUCGCGUUGCGUCGAAUUAAACCACAUGCUCCACCGCUUGUGCGGGCCCCCGUCAAUUCCUUUGAGUUUCAGCCUUGCGGCCGUACUCCCCAGGCGGGGCACUUAAUGCGUUAGCGCCGGCACCCAGGGGGUCGCUCCCCCAGGCACCUAGUGCCCAUCGUUUACGGCGUGGACUAC
RNAcentral lists this unclassified non-coding RNA (313 nucleotides) under uncultured Gemmatimonadaceae bacterium. RNAcentral describes it as "contains 16S-23S intergenic spacer region". Lineage: Bacteria; Pseudomonadati; Gemmatimonadota; Gemmatimonadia; Gemmatimonadales; Gemmatimonadaceae. The record is from RNAcentral.